GUACCAAGGGGGGGGAGCAUGUGGUUUAAUUUGAUGCAACGGGAAGAACCUUACCUGGCCUUUACAUGUACGGAAGACAGAAGAGAUUUUGUUGUUCCUUCGGGAGCCGUAACACAGGUGGUGCAUGGCUGUUGUCAGCUUGUGUUGUGAGAUGUUGGGUUAAGUCCCGCAACGAGCGCAACCCCUGUCCUUAGUUGCCAUCAUUAAGUUGGGCACUUUAAGGAGACUGCCGGUGACAAACCGGAGGAAGGUGGGGAAGAAGUCAAGUCAUCAUGGCCCUUAUGGCCAGGGGUACACACGUGGUACAAUGGCAAGUACAAAGAGCAGCUAACUCGGGAGGGUCUGGUAAUUCCAUAAAGCCCGUCGCAUUUCGGAUUUGCAGUCUGCAACUCGACUGCGUGAAGUGGGAAUCGCUAGUAAUCGCGGAUCAAAAUGCCGCGGUGAAAC
RNAcentral lists this ribosomal RNA (447 nucleotides) under uncultured bacterium. RNAcentral's name for it is "bacterial SSU rRNA". It matches the Rfam family "Bacterial small subunit ribosomal RNA", at positions 929 to 1366 of the family's 1533-position model. The record is from RNAcentral.